AGCUUUGCGCAGUGGCAUUAUCGUAACCAAUGAGGUUUAUCCGAGGUGCGAUUAUUGCUGGUAGACGGACAAAUUGAUUUUUAAGCAUACUGCUUGGUUAAAGUUCGGCACCCCCCUCCACGUGG
Molecule: small nuclear RNA, 125 nt
Filed under: Sitophilus oryzae (rice weevil)
Lineage: Eukaryota; Metazoa; Arthropoda; Insecta; Coleoptera; Curculionidae
Description: U4 spliceosomal RNA
Rfam family: U4 spliceosomal RNA (bases 1-65)
About the family: U4 small nuclear RNA (U4 snRNA) is a component of the major U2-dependent spliceosome. The structure of U4 snRNA from yeast and human has been reported.
Source: RNAcentral